Molecule: long non-coding RNA, 314 nt
Filed under: Elaeis guineensis (African oil palm)
Lineage: Eukaryota; Viridiplantae; Streptophyta; Magnoliopsida; Arecales; Arecaceae
Description: long non-coding RNA (EGUI_LNC073661)
Source: RNAcentral
GCCGGUGGGUCUUGUCUCGCUGUAAAAGCUCAUCUGAGAUCUGGAGUGGAGAUCCAGAGUAGACCGCUCGUAGUAGAAGUUCGGAGCAGACCACUCGUAGUAGGAGUUUGGAGUAGACCGCUCGUAGUAGCAGUUCGGAGUAGACUGCUCGUAGUAGAAGUUUGGCUCUCAUAGGAGCCUGGUUAGAAUCUUGAAGGCGGUCGACCGUCGUAGAAACUCGGAUGGAGUCUGAUUACUGUAGAAACCUCAUUGUCGAAGAAGCUCGGAUAUUGAUGAAGUCUGGAAGGAGUUUGGAGAAUAGUUGAUCACUGUAG